This 484-nucleotide ribosomal RNA is filed under the name uncultured bacterium. RNAcentral describes it as "partial 16S ribosomal RNA". It matches the Rfam family "Bacterial small subunit ribosomal RNA", at positions 30 to 507 of the family's 1533-position model. The record is from RNAcentral.
AUUGAACGCUGGCGGAAUGCUUUACACAUGCAAGUCGAACGGCAGCACAGGGGCAGCCCUGGUGGCGAGUGGCGAACGGGUGAGUAAUACAUCGGAACGUGCCCGGUCGUGGGGGAUAACGUAGCGAAAGUUACGCUAAUACCGCAUACGAUCUGAGGAUGAAAGCGGGGGACCUUCGGGCCUCGCGCGAUCGGAGCGGCCGAUGUCAGAUUAGGUAGUUGGUGGGGUAAAGGCCUACCAAGCCGACGAUCUGUAGCUGGUCUGAGAGGACGACCAGCCACACUGGGACUGAGACACGGCCCAGACUCCUACGGGAGGCAGCAGUGGGGAAUUUUGGACAAUGGGCGCAAGCCUGAUCCAGCCAUUCCGCGUGCAGGACGAAGGCCUUCGGGUUGUAAACUGCUUUUGUACGGAACGAAAAGGCUCUGGCUAAUACCUGGGGCUCAUGACGGUACCGUAAGAAUAAGCACCGGCUAACUACGUG